UAAUGUCUGCGAUGUUCGUGAUGUGAAACUUUUGCUUCCUGAUUUAUUUAAAAAGGAGUUCGUCCCUGGAAGGGGUGUGCCAGCCUGCCGCUGAGCAGGACGCCUAAACCUUUUAUCACAUUACUCCACCUUGUGAGCCCAAGGAAACAAAAGCUAAUAUUUUACACACGGCAUCGCGGUCAUUCC
RNAcentral lists this non-coding RNA (186 nucleotides) under Deltaproteobacteria bacterium. RNAcentral describes it as "6S RNA". It matches the Rfam family "6S / SsrS RNA". Rfam says of the family: E. coli 6S RNA was the first non coding RNA to be sequenced, but its function was unknown until recently. It consists of 184 nucleotides that fold into an extended hairpin structure with a large single-stranded internal bulge. The record is from RNAcentral. RNAcentral also lists the same sequence under 1 other name. Lineage: Bacteria; Pseudomonadati; Myxococcota; Myxococcia.